AAGGCUUUGUUCACAAUAACAUGCAUUCAUUAUAAACAAAUUAGUGCAGUUUAUGAACAAGCAGUGAGAAAGUAAGCAGAGUGUGUAGUAGGCAUGCAAACAGUGACCUAUCAACAGGAAUAUAUGAUUUCAACCCUAUUGCAGUAAGGCAUUCGUUAUAAACAAAUAAAUACAGAAAGAAUGGAGAAGCACAAAUGUAAAGUACGAGGUAUAAGAGCUACAAUACUAUUGCAAGAAACUAGGAAGAGAUAAUAGCUGUUUUGUGCUGCAUAUGCAUGGUCGGAGUGCCAAACAUGAGUACUGUUCCAAUAUUAGUUGGGCAUAUAUACAUACAAUUUUAACAAAAAAAAAUAAAAAUGAUAAGACACAGAGCAAUUAUGACUAAGCCACAAACUAGGGCCGCCCAGCGCAAAUCUGGAAC
RNAcentral lists this unclassified non-coding RNA (421 nucleotides) under Hevea brasiliensis (rubber tree). Lineage: Eukaryota; Viridiplantae; Streptophyta; Magnoliopsida; Malpighiales; Euphorbiaceae. The record is from RNAcentral.